Molecule: long non-coding RNA, 306 nt
Filed under: Homo sapiens (human)
Lineage: Eukaryota; Metazoa; Chordata; Mammalia; Primates; Hominidae
Description: HSALNT0247553
Source: RNAcentral
AUAAGCCCAGGCCUACUACAAGUCUCACAAAGACUCCAAGUGCUGUAAAGCAUGAAGUGUACUUUGAUGGAUUAGGACUGAACGAACAGGACUAUAAAAGCCUUCACUGGUUACCCAGCUCCAUUGAAGACAAACAAGAAGAUGCAAGGAAAACUGAUACCUGAAGGCUAGGGUUAGCCCAGUAAAUGGAUUUCCUGAGAGGAAAAUAUGCAAAAUAACAAAAUGACUGUCUUUCUAGAAGUAGCUUUUUAAAAAGCUAAAUUUGAAUUUGCUGAGAUGAUUUAAUAAAAUGCAGCUGGCCAGCAA